GCUGGGUGUGGUGGCGCACACCUGCAAUCCCAGCAGCUCAGGAGGCUGAGGCAGGAGGAUCGUGAGUUCAAAGCCAGCCUCAGCAACAGUGAGGCACGACCGGUGAGACCCUGUCGCUA
RNAcentral lists this small RNA (119 nucleotides) under Marmota monax (woodchuck). Lineage: Eukaryota; Metazoa; Chordata; Mammalia; Rodentia; Sciuridae. The record is from RNAcentral.